AAUUGCUAGUAAUCGCGAAUCAGAAUGUCGCGGUGAAUACGUUCCCGGGCCUUGUACACACCGCCCGUCACACCAUGAGAGUCGAUAACACCCGAAGCCUGUGAGCUAACCGUAAGGAGGCAGCAGUCGAAGGUGGGGUUGAUGAUUGGGGUGAAGUCGUAACAAGGUACC
This 171-nucleotide ribosomal RNA is filed under the name uncultured bacterium. RNAcentral describes it as "partial 16S ribosomal RNA". It matches the Rfam family "Bacterial small subunit ribosomal RNA", at positions 1330 to 1500 of the family's 1533-position model. The record is from RNAcentral.